This 450-nucleotide ribosomal RNA is filed under the name uncultured bacterium. Its description in RNAcentral is "partial 16S ribosomal RNA". It matches the Rfam family "Bacterial small subunit ribosomal RNA", at positions 354 to 796 of the family's 1533-position model. The record is from RNAcentral.
GUGGGGAAUAUUGGACAAUGGGCGAAAGCCUGAUCCAGCCAUGCCGCGUGUGUGAAGAAGGUCUUCGGAUUGUAAAGCACUUUAAGUUGGGAGGAAGGGCAGUAAGUUAAUACCUUGCUGUUUUGACGUUACCAACAGAAUAAGCACCGGCUAACUUCGUGUCAGCAGCCGCGGUAAUACGAAGGGUGCAAGCGUUAAUCGGAAUUACUGGGCGUAAAGCGCGCGUAGGUGGUUCAGCAAGUUGAAGGUGAAAUCCCCGGGCUCAACCUGGGAACUGCCUCCAAAACUACUGAGCUAGAGUACGGUAGAGGGUAGUGGAAUUUCCUGUGUAGCGGUGAAAUGCGUAGAUAUAGGAAGGAACACCAGUGGCGAAGGCGACUACCUGGACUGAUACUGACACUGAGGUGCGAAAGCGUGGGGAGCAAACAGGAUUAGAAACCUCUGUAGUCC